Molecule: ribosomal RNA, 377 nt
Filed under: uncultured bacterium
Lineage: Bacteria
Description: bacterial SSU rRNA
Rfam family: Bacterial small subunit ribosomal RNA
Source: RNAcentral
UAAUACGUAGGGGGCAAGCGUUGUCCGGAUUUAUUGGGCGUAAAGAGCGUGUAGGCGGCCAGACAGGUCCGUUGUGAAAACUAGAGGCUUAACCUCUAGACGUCGAUGGAAACCGUCUGGCUAGAGUCCGGAAGAGGAGAAUGGAAUUCCUGGUGUAGCGGUGAAAUGCGCAGAUAUCAGGAAGAACACCCGUGGCUAAGGCGGUUCUCUAGUACGGUACUGACGCUGAGACGCGAAAGCGUGGGGAGCGAACAGGAUUAGAUACCCUGGUAGUCCACGCUGUAAACGAUGGGCACUAGGUGUCCGGGGUAUUGACCCCCUGGGUGCCGCAGCUAACGCAUUAAGUGCCCCGCCUGGGGAGUACGGUCGCAAGAUUA